UUAACUUUAGUUUUUCAUAUUAACUUUAACGUCAUACCAAUUAGUUAACUACAUAUGACAACUUAGUCAUUUUCAAAAAUUUUAAAUAAUUUUAAUAACACAGAUGUCGCUAGGAACUAUUGUUUCCGUCAGCAGGCUGUCGUUUUGAAUAUUGUCAGUAACAGCUGUUCUUUGUACGAAUGGUGGCCAUUUUGUAAAAAAAAACACAUUAAAUGUGAUUUUUAACAUUUAAGGGUUUUUUACCCUAACCAGUGGUUAUAUCCCUGGGUUAAUUUUUAAAAUAUAGAAUGUGUUUGUUCGAAGUUUUCUCUUCUUUUGAGGUUUUUACACCUAUAAGACGAUAGCUCUGAUGAUGGCAUUAAUAUGCUGAAAGUACUUAGCUGAUUUAAUAAAUUAAUUUACACAC
This 406-nucleotide long non-coding RNA is filed under the name Diabrotica virgifera virgifera (western corn rootworm). RNAcentral's name for it is "uncharacterized LOC126880360". Lineage: Eukaryota; Metazoa; Arthropoda; Insecta; Coleoptera; Chrysomelidae. The record is from RNAcentral.